AGGGUUUGAUUAUGGCUCAGGAUGAACGCUAGCGGCAGGCUUAACACAUGCAAGUCGAGGGGUAACAGGGAUUGCUUGCAAUCCGCUGACGACCGGCGCACGGGUGCGUAACGCGUAUGCAACCUACCUUCUACAGGGGGAUAGUCAAUAGAAAUGUUGAAUAAUACCCCAUACGAUCUUCAGAUAGCCUUAUUUGAAGAAGAAAGUUCCGGCGGUAGAAGAUGGGCAUGCGUCCUAUUAGUUAGUUGGAGAGGUAACGGCUCCCCAAGACAUCGAUAGGUAGGGGUCCUGAGAGGGAGACCCCCCACACUGGUACUGAGACACGGACCGGACUCCUACGGGAGGCAGCAGUGAGGAAUAUUGGACAAUGGAGGCAACUCUGAUCCAGCCAUGCCGCGUGCAGGAAGACUGCCCUAUGGGUUGUAAACUGCUUUUAUACAGGAAGAAAUGUACCUACGUGUAGGUAUUUGACGGUACUGUACGAAUAAGGAUCGGCUAACUCCGUGCCAGCAGCCGCGGUAAUAC
Molecule: ribosomal RNA, 525 nt
Filed under: uncultured bacterium
Lineage: Bacteria
Description: bacterial SSU rRNA
Rfam family: Bacterial small subunit ribosomal RNA
Source: RNAcentral